CAGCCGCCGCGGGAAUACAGAGGGUGCGAGCGUUAAUCGGAUUUACUGGGCGUAAAGCGUGCGUAGGCGGCUUCUUAAGUCGGAUGUGAAAUCCCUGAGCUUAACUUAGGAAUUGCAUUCGAUACUGGGAAGCUAGAGUAUGGGAGAGGAUGGUAGAAUUCCAGGUGUAGCGGUGAAAUGCGUAGAGAUCGGGAGGAACAUCAGUGGCGAAGGCGGCCAUCUGGGACAACACUGACGCUGAGGCACGAAAGCGUGGGGAGCAAACAGGAUUAGAUACCCGGGUAGUCCCUGUCUCUUAUAC
Molecule: ribosomal RNA, 301 nt
Filed under: uncultured bacterium
Lineage: Bacteria
Description: partial 16S ribosomal RNA
Rfam family: Bacterial small subunit ribosomal RNA
Source: RNAcentral